CUUUCUUUUCUUUUUUUCUUUUUUUUCCCUAUUACUGACAACAACUGGCUCUAAAUUCAAUUUUACACUCUGUUGUUGAACAUGCUACACACCUAAUACUGAAUGCUGAAAUGCAUAGACAUGCUCAAACAGGAUGCACUAAUGGAGAGAUGUCAGAGUGCUUGUGCCACCCCACUGUGGCCAUUUUUCAAACGAUUUUGAAAAUGUGAGAGACCAAACACAUGAUGACAAAUCAUGAGUGAUGAUACUUUUUUUUGUUGUUGGAAUGAUUAAGGAACGCUACCUCUGUACAUAGUCCCGUGCAACACUGAUGACAUUGUCUCAUUGGAUGAAAGCAUCUGUCAGUAAGACGCUCAUUCUGAACUUCUGGAAGUGAAAACGUCCUAAUGUGGAUCCUGGAGACAAAGCUGGACCUUUCCCCUCUACGUGAGACUUCAAGCCCUUGAUGAGCUGAUGUGCUGCUGCUGCUGUGGAAUUGUUUUUACGACUUUGAACACUUGGUCGGGUAAGCUGAAGGAGCAAACCUCAGGGACAACUGGGCCUUGCUACAAGGAGAUUCCCCAGGAAAAGGCAGUCCUCAAGCCUGGCUGUUGGCUGAAUGGUGGGGUAGGUUUUCAUUUCAUUUUUCAGUGAACCUGUACGCUUGUAACCUUGUGACUAUACCUAAUCAUACCUAAACAUUUGAUUUCCCCGACCUCAGUAAGCACUUAAUUCUUCAGAGACAUUCAGCACACACAUGCUGUAUCAUCACUAAAUCUGCUGUCAUUGUAACGUGUUUGGUGCACUCAUUUAUUUCAAUUGAAUUGCUUUGAUGGGGAAUGAAUCAAUGAUUGUCUGAUGUAUGAAAGGUAAAAAGUGCCCUCAAAUAGAGACGAGCUGAAUCGUGAAUUGAAGGCCUUAUUUCAUUGUUCUCUCCUGAGUGCCGGUUAAAUUAGUAUUUUGCCUUGAUAUGUGUGGGAAUUGGUUUGAGAUCACUCUUCACAAAGGUGCAGAGGGACCGAAAGAUUGGGAUUUUGUCUUUUCAAAUUGAUAGUUUGAUGGUCCAACUUCAUGACAUAGUUGGAUGUCCGAACACCUCCUUUUAAAAGCGUCAAAACCAUUUAUCGCUUGUUCCUAAGAACCACCGUCUAAAAUAACUCUGACAUAGACAGGGUCAGCAUCUUUAAAUACUGACACUCCUUAGAGUCCCCAUUGACCACAGCUGUACUGUAACUCGUGUUUAACUGCAAAAUCUAACCAUCCAAAAAUGCUAAACUAAGAAAUGGAAAUUAUUUUAGCAUUUUAGAACUCUCUUUGAGCGGAUGAGGCUCAACAAUAUAGAAUGGAAAAAGCGGGGCCACUUUUUUCUGGACCUCAGAACAGAAAGCUCUCUGGGUGUUUUUAAAAGCAAACUGAA
Non-coding RNA from Labrus bergylta (ballan wrasse), 1396 nucleotides. NCBI's taxonomy places the organism in Eukaryota, Metazoa, Chordata, Actinopteri, Labriformes, Labridae. The record is from RefSeq and is a predicted model, not a curated record.